This is a long non-coding RNA of Etheostoma spectabile (orangethroat darter), 313 nucleotides long. RefSeq lists it as uncharacterized. Lineage: Eukaryota; Metazoa; Chordata; Actinopteri; Perciformes; Percidae. The transcript has 2 exons. The record is from RefSeq and is a predicted model, not a curated record.
UGAUUGAUGAUUUAUGAAUGGAGUUUUUAUUCCUUUUUUUUAACACUGAAAAUGGGGAAUGAGUUAAUGAGUAAGUGAUCCUCUCGCAUGACAAGAGCAAAGUCCUCCACGUGGCCUUUGAUUAAACAAAACAGCACCGACAGAAAUGUACACAAAGAAACAGCAUCCCACCCCUACUGUAGAAUACGCACAGUACACUUGUAGUAUGUGCCAGUACUGUGUUUGUAAGAGUCUUUUGAUUUGACCGUGUGUAAAAGUUAAAUAUGCAAAAGUCAUUUCAUUUGCUCUGAAAAUGUUUGAGAUAUUUCAAGAG